This 269-nucleotide ribosomal RNA is filed under the name uncultured bacterium. RNAcentral's name for it is "partial 16S ribosomal RNA". It matches the Rfam family "Bacterial small subunit ribosomal RNA", at positions 793 to 1055 of the family's 1533-position model. The record is from RNAcentral.
GUCCUAGCCGUAAACUAUGAGUACUGAAUUGAAGGGCCCUCCAUAGCCCUUCAGUUUAAGCGAAAGUGUUAAGUACUCCGCCUGGGGAGUAUGGUCGCAAGGCUGAAACUCAAAGAAAUUGACGGGGGCUCACACAAGCGGUGGAGGAUGUGGCUUAAUUCGAGGCUACGCGAAGAACCUUAUCCUAGUCUUUACAUGCACGGAUUAACUCCUGGAAACAGGAGCCAGGCCUUCGGGUACAACGUGCACAGGUGCUGCAUGGCUGUCGU